AACGCACAUUGCGCCCGCCAGUAUUCUGGCGGGCAUGCCUGUUCGAGCGUCAUUUCAACCCUCAAGCCCAGCUUGGUGUUGGGGAUCGGCACAGGCGCCCUCGGGCGCCCGCCGUCCCCUAAAUUUAGUGGCGGUCCCGCUGCAGCCUCCUCUGCGUAGUAGUUUUCUCCUCGCAAGGGCAGCUCGGUGGCGACCUCGCCGUAAAACCCCCAACUUCUGAAAGGUUGACCUCGAAUCAGGUAGGAAUACCCGCUGAACUUAA
This 262-nucleotide unclassified non-coding RNA is filed under the name uncultured Ascomycota. RNAcentral's name for it is "sequence contains ITS2". The stretch from base 1 to 52 matches the Rfam family "5.8S ribosomal RNA", at positions 103 to 154 of the family's 154-position model. The record is from RNAcentral. Lineage: Eukaryota; Fungi; Ascomycota.